This 1139-nucleotide ribosomal RNA is filed under the name uncultured organism. RNAcentral's name for it is "bacterial SSU rRNA". It matches the Rfam family "Bacterial small subunit ribosomal RNA", at positions 226 to 1353 of the family's 1533-position model. The record is from RNAcentral.
UGGGCUUGCGGCCCAUUAGCUUGUUGGUAAGGUAAUGGCUUACCAAGGCGACGAUGGGUAGCCGGCCUGAGAGGGUGUACGGCCACACUGGAACUGAGACACGGUCCAGACUCCUACGGGAGGCAGCAGUGGGGAAUAUUGGUCAAUGGGCGAAAGCCUGAACCAGCAAUGCCGUGUGGGCGAUGAAGCUUUUAGGAGUGUAAAGCCCUUUUCUAGGGGAAGAACCGCUUUGGGACGAAUAAUCCCAUAGCCUGACGGUACCUUAGGAAUAAGCCCCGGCUAACUCCGUGCCAGCAGUCGCGGUAAUACGGAGGGGGCGAGCGUUGUUCGGAAUCACUGGGCGUAAAGGGCGCGUAGGCGGCCUUGCAGGUCAGAUGUGAAAGCCCCGGGCUUAACCCGGGAAUUGCGUUUGAAACCUCAGGGCUUGAGGCCGGGAGAGGGAAGUGGAAUUCCUGGUGUAGCGGUGAAAUGCGUAGAUAUCAGGAGGAACACCGGUGGCGAAGGCGGCUUCCUGGACCGGUACUGACGCUGAGUCGCGAAAGCGUGGGGAGCGAACGGGAUUAGAUACCCCGGUAGUCCACGCUGUAAACGUUGAGCACUAGAUGUAGCGGGUAUCGACCCCUGCUGUGUCGCAGCUAACGCAUUAAGUGCUCCGCCUGGGGACUACGGUCGCAAGACUGAAACUCAAAGGAAUUGACGGGGGCCCGCACAAGCGGUGGAGUAUGUGGUUUAAUUCGAUGCAACGCGAAGAACCUUACCAGGGCUUGACAUACUGGUGGUACUGAUCUGAAAGGUGAAGGACCUCUUCGGAGGAGCCAGUACAGGUGCUGCAUGGCUGUCGUCAGCUCGUGUCGUGAGAUGUUGGGUUAAGUCCCGCAACGAGCGCAACCCCUACCCUUAGUUACCAGCAGUUCGGCUGGGCACUCUAGGGGAACUGCCGGUGAUAAACCGGAGGAAGGUGGGGAUGACGUCAAGUCCUCAUGGUCCUUAUGUCCUGGGCUACACACGUACUACAAUGGUCGGUACAAUGGGUCGCGAAACCGUGAGGUUGAGCCAAUCUCAAAAAACCGGCCUCAAUUCGGAUUGGAGUCUGCAACUCGACUCCAUGAAGUUGGAAUCGCUAGUAAUCGCGGAUCAGC